UUUUUGUAUUACGACUAAAGGACCCGAAUUUAGGUGAUCUAUUUAAAUUUGCUUAAAAUUUCCCAUAGAAAAGAGAAAAAAAAAAAGAAAGCUCUAAAAAAGAAAACCGAACCUAAAAAUCUGAUAUCGAUCACUUUUAAAAAAUUAACAAAAGAAAAAAAUAUCGAAGAGGAUAAUAGAAAUAAGAAAAAUUUUUCAAAAAAUUGGAAAUGUAGAAAAGAAAAUUACAUUUUAGAUCGAUUAAAAUAAAAAUCUUUAGAGUCAAAAAAAAUUUAAAAGAAUUUAAAAUAAACUCUUUCCCCGACUGUUUAACAAAAACAUUUCUUCGAAAAGGAUUUUGAAGUAGGCCCUGCUCACAUAAAAAAUUAAAAAAGCCAACUCUUUGCGAAGGUAGCAUAAUUACUAGCCGCCUAAUUAGCGGAUUGUCUGAAUGGGUUAACGAGGGAAAAGUUUUCUUUAAAUUCAAAAAUAUAAGUUGGGGGUUAGAUCUCCCCCAAGCAAUAAAAAGACGAUAAGACCCUUUAAUCUUGAUUUUAAUAAUAAAAUUAUUGUUGGGGCAACAAAGAGAAUGAUUCUCUUAUUAGAGAUCUAGAUUUUUUUUCAAUUCUAAAUAUGAUACUAUAGGGAUAACAGCAUAAUAUUUUCUUAAAAGACCUUAUUUUAAGAAAAGAGUAUGACCUCGAUGUUGAACCAGAGAAAAU
This 701-nucleotide ribosomal RNA is filed under the name Spadella cephaloptera. RNAcentral's name for it is "partial 16S ribosomal RNA". The record is from RNAcentral. Lineage: Eukaryota; Metazoa; Chaetognatha; Sagittoidea; Phragmophora; Spadellidae.